CACAGACACCGCAGCCUAGGCCCAGUUGGAAGGAGGUGUUUGUGGACGAUGGACAAGUUAGAGUAGAGAAUUUACACAGUAGGGCAGCAGGGGAGGAUUCUGCGUUGGGAAGCCAUAUCAUUAGAUCCAUUUCUAGGACAAUAAUCAGGAAAACAAAGGGAAGGAUGAAGUGAAGGAGCUGGAGAAGAUGGGAGGCAGGAAGCCCAUCCAGGAGGCUGGUGGAAGCCCAAAGAAGCAGAGCUUCAAUGGAAGCAAAAGCAGGGGUUGGAACAAGCUGGUUUCUACAUACUGACUUUUCAAUGUUCGCUCUUGGGUUUUCUUAUGCUUCUAGCUGUUGGCUGAUAUCUAUGUAUCUAUACUGAAUUAUCUGUCCAUCUAUCUACCUAAUUCUUUUUUACUUUGUUUUCCUUCCCUCUUUUUAAGUAAUGGGAUGGAGAGAAACAACCCCUUCCAUCUUGACCCCUACAUAACGGACAGCCCUUAAUCAUCUUAGGUCAUGGGAAAGGUUUCCAUGCAUCCCAGCCAUCUUGAGAGCUGACAGGGCUUGGUGCUCCUGCAGUCAGAGAUGUUACGUGGUUAAAACUGGUUUUAUCUGUCCUUACUCCCAGCCCUUCCUCGUGUCCUAUCCUCGCAGAAUGUUCCUGGUUUUCUCCUUAGAUAAUUGGAUAUCAUAUUUGAUCAGCGAUGGGCUGACACAGGAAGUGUGGGAGGGGCAUCAUCUGUGCUCUUUUGGUUGAUUUGUUUCCGUGUUUACAAUGACAGAGCAACACAUUGGCUUCUUUCAUUGCUGUCUCUUUAUGCUUUUGUCCAACGGAUUACAUGUUACAUAAUUGCUCCUUAGUGAUUUUUAAAAAGAAAAUCUUCCAGCAGUAGACAAACAGAUUCUGCUAACCAAGCAUUAAGAUACCUUGAAGGGAUCCUGGUGGGUUGAGUGUGGGUUUCUGGGGAUGGGUAGGAAUGCACUUUAGAGAGAAGGAAAAUGGGGCCUGGUGAUAGUGUUUGUUGCCCCAGAGCUUGAUGGAUUCCCCGCGCCCCCAUUCUGUCUCUGGGGGACAAGGCAUUUCACUUGCAGACAUAUCUUUCUUCUUUUCUGCUGCUGUAUUUCAUUCUCCCCACGGGAUGCCAGGCAAGUGCACAGUUAGGUGACACACACUGGCAGGAAACCAUCAUCUAGGCGGCCCGUAUUUGUUUCCAUGGUUCCUGAGAGGUUAGGGUGAAGGAAAGAGGCAAAACUUGGGCACUGAAAGCAAACCUUCUAUUCUUCUCUCCUCUCAAUGCAUAAACACGCACAGCAUCCCUCUGGGCAAGGGAGACAGACCUCACUUGGUGAUUCAUUUAGAUUCAGCAUGAGAUGGAGAUAUUGUUUUAUUCUUCAUUAUAAGAGGGGCCAUUGCUUCAAAUUGACCAUUUGCCCCCCUCACUCUUUUCCAAAGUAGCCUGUUGACAAUCUCCUCUUGUAGAUUACAGUUCUCAGUAGAGACAAGUAGGGAGAAAUUCAGAUGUUGAAAAGCUUUGAGACAUCCCACAGAGUUGGAAUGCUUUUUUCAAAGGGAACAAAACUCUGCAAAUGUGUAUGUACUUGCCUCUGUGCCCCAAAGAGCCAGCUGGACAGCCCGUAAAGGACUCUGCUUUAGAAACAACAAAAGCGCAUGUCAGAAGCCAAGGGACAGGGGGCUGAGAACUAAUAAUAAUUUUGUACUUACACAGCAGUUUUGGUCGGAGGACCUCAGAGUGCUUUAUAAACAUUAAUUAAAUUGCCCCACAGCCCUGUGAGAUGUCUGUGUAUCACUAUUUCCAAUUUGCAGGGGGCAGAGGGAAGAGAAAUGAGUGCAUGGCGUGACGUUGGAACCAGGCCAGGCUACGGUGCCUGAGGACUGCAGACUCAGAAAAAGCAGCGGGACCUUUUCCUCGGUGACUCUAAGGUGAUGGCCAUGCGUCACUGUACAUGCUGGGCCAAGAAAGAGAUGUCUGGCAGCAGAGCUGUCUAGAAUGACUCCUCUGCAGGGCCUACCUGGUACAUGAGGCUAGCUGCACUGAGCUUGAGGGGCGCUGGCACCAUCUCCCCCACAAGCUCAUCACCGCUACUGCCUUUAUUACAGACACGUCCCUUCAGUGGAACUCCUGGUGGCAAGUCGGUUUUACCCAAGGUGCUGGCUCUGAUUGCUUGGACGUGUAGCCGGGACAGCUGCUCGGAGAAGGGUUGUGAUGUGUACUCAGAAAAAAAUCCCAUGAUCGAUUAUCGAUGUCUGUCUUGCAUUUGGGGAAAGGUAGUUGUGGCUUGAAUUGUGUCCCCUGAAAAGAUGUCUUAAAAAAAGAUUUAUUUGGGAGUUCCUUUCAGGGCUCAGCGGUUAACGAACCUGAUUAGGAUCCAUGAGGAUGUGGGUUCGAUCCCUGGCCUUGCUUAGGGGCUUAAGGAUCCAGCGUUGCCACGAGCUGUGGUGUAGGUCGCAGAUGUGGCUCAGAACCUGCAUCGCUGUGGUCAUGGUAUAGGCCGGCAGCUGUAGCAUGGAUUCGACUCCUAGCCUUGGAAAUUCUAUAUGCCUCUGGUGUGGCCCUAAAGAGCAAAAAAAGGAAAAAUUAUUUUAUUGAAGUGUAGUGGAUUUACAAUAUUGUAUUAAUUUCUGCUGUACAGCAAAGUGAGUCAGUUACACACACAUACACACACACACGCACACGCACAUUCUUUUUUUUUUUUUUUGGCAUGCACAAGUUCUCAGGCCAGGGGUUGAACCCACAGCGACGCCACAGCAGUAACCGGAGCUAUAGCAGUGAAAGUGCUGGAUCCUUAACCCUCUGAUCCACCAGGGAACUCUGACUUUUUCGCAUUUUUUCCAUUAUGUUUUAACAUAGGAUGUUGAACCUAGUUCCCCGUGCUGUACAGUAGGACCUUGUUUAUCCAUUCUGUGUGUAAUAGUUUGCAUCUACUAACCCUAAACCCCCACCCCCUGCUCCCCACCACCACCUCCCCCCUUGACAACCGUACGUCUGUCCUCUACGUCUGAGUUCCAUUUCUGUUUCCUAGAUGUGUUCAUAUUUAGAUCCCACAUUAAGCGGGUGUCAUAUGGUAUUUGUCUUUCUCGGUCUGACUUACUUCCCUUACUGGGAUGGUCUCCAGGACCAUCCACAUUUACUGCAAGCGGCAUCAUUGCCUUCUCUCUGAAAAGCUGUCUUGAGAGCCUAACCUUGGUGCCCGUGCCUGUGGUCUUUGGAAACAGGGUCCUUGUAGAUGUAACCAAGUGAAGAUGAGGACAUACUGGGUUGGAGUGGGCCCUGAAUCCGAUGACUGGGUCCAUGAGAAAAGGGCAGCGUGGGCACAGACACAGACGAGAAGCUGGGGGAAGAGGGAGGCAGUGAUUGGGGUGUGGUGUUCUCAUGCCAAGGAAUGACCAGGAUUUCGGGUGACCCCCGAAGCUGGAGGAGGCAAGGAAGGAGUCUUUCCUGGAGGCUUGGCAGGGAGCUCAGCCCUGCUGAAACCUUAAUUUCAAACUUUGGGCUUCCAGAACCGUGAGAGAAUAAAUGUCUGAGGUCUUAAGCGACCCAGUUUGGGGGACUGUUUGACAGUAGCCCUAGGAAAUCAAUACAAUAGUCUAAAUUUUGGGAGUUUCCAAAUGCAGGAUCUUUAAAACAGUUAUUUAUUUAAAAACAUUUCCCACCAUUGGAAUAAAGGAAGGAAGGCCUCCUGGAGAGAUCGGGCUGUGAUGAUGGACAUGAGACAGGGUGAGCGCAUCGUAAUGGCAGUGACAGUGACGUCACUGCGGUCCCCCGAGGGGGCACUUGUGAUUGUUCUCAGCUGCUUAGAUGUUUUGGCGGGUCAGCCCUGUUGGAAGGUGUUGAAUUACAAUUGUGAAAAUUCAUUUCCCACCUCCCAUUUCUUAAUCCUUUUAAUGACAUAGAAAAUCAAGGAGUGCAUCCAGAAGCCAGAUCCGGGGUAGCGAAGGGCAAAAAUAACCUGCAAAUAAGAAAAAUAUAAAUCUAAGAUCUAAACUCUGGGAAAACUGAUCUUUCGUGGGUGAGGUUGCAGAUAUUUGGAGCAGGAGGCGAUCUGCUGUAUUCAUCUUCGGUCUUGCCCCUUGACUCUCCCCUUUUAAAAAAAUGCAGGCAGUCCUCAGAGGGGUGAGACACAUAAAACAAUACAAUCAUAGAAGGCUACAUCCAGUUCUGAAAAGAAAAUGGUCUUUGGAGUCAGACAGAUGUGAACUGAAUUCCAGGCUCUGUCAUUUCCUAGCUCUAUGGCAUUAGGGAAGUCACCUGACCUCUCGCUGCCUUAAUUUACUCACCUGCUAAGCACGUGUAAUGAUAUUGCCAUAACCUUACUGUGAGAAAUAAAUGAGUUUAUAGCUGUU
Molecule: long non-coding RNA, 4343 nt
Filed under: Sus scrofa (pig)
Lineage: Eukaryota; Metazoa; Chordata; Mammalia; Artiodactyla; Suidae
Description: lncRNA (ENSSSCG00000061709.1)
Source: RNAcentral